GCAGAGCAUCCUACGGGAGGCAGCAGUGGGGAAUAUUGCACAAUGGGUCGCAAGCCUGAUGCAGCCAUGCCGCGUGUAUGAAGAAGGCCUUCGGGUUGUAAAAGUACUUUCAGCAGUGAGGAAGGUGGAUAUGUUAAUAGCAUAUUCAUUUCGACGUUAGCUGCAGAAGAAGCACCGGCUAACUCCGUGCCAGCAGCCGCGGUAAUACGGAGGGUGCGAGCGUUAAUCGGAAUUACUGGGCGUAAAGCGCAUGCAGGUGGUUUGUUAAGUCAGAUGUGAAAAGCCCGGGGCUCAACCUCGGAAUUGCAUUUGAAACUGGCAAACUAGAGUACUGUAGAGGGGGUAGAAUUUCAGGUGUAGCGGUGAAAAUGCGUAGAGAUCUGAAGGAAUACCGGUGGCGAAGGCGGCCCCCUGGACAGAUACUGACACUCAGAUGCGAAAGCGUGGGGGAGCAAAACAGGAUUAGAUACCCCUGGUAG
RNAcentral lists this ribosomal RNA (479 nucleotides) under uncultured bacterium. RNAcentral's name for it is "bacterial SSU rRNA". It matches the Rfam family "Bacterial small subunit ribosomal RNA", at positions 329 to 793 of the family's 1533-position model. The record is from RNAcentral.